UUGCUACUUACAUCAUAGUAAUAAUGAUGCAAGAUCAACAAUGUUGAAUAAAGUUCUAGGUAGAAUUUUGAUAAUGACGGUAUAGGCCUAUGUGUCUUGACCAAUUACGUGCCAGCAGUCGCGGUAAUACGUAGAAGGCUAGCGUUAUUCAUGUUUAAUCGGUUUAAAGGGUACCUAGACGGCAGAUCAAGCUUAUGUAAAAAAGGACUAAUCUGCUAGAGUUACUUGUGAGGGGGCUAUAAAGUACUGCUGGUGUAGGGAUGAAAUUCUAUGAUACCUAAUUUCGAAAGAAAAGCUAUGGCACAGGUAUAGGCGAAGGCAUCCCCUUAUGUGAUAACUGACGUUGAGGGACGAAGGCUUCGGACCACGAACAGGAUUAGAGACCCUGGUAGUUGAAGCAGUAAACGAUGAAUGUCAUAGAUUAGAUAUAUAAGUUUCUUCUAUAAAUGAAAGUGUAAGCAUUCCACCUCAAGAGUAAUUUGGCAACAUUGGAACUGAAAUCAUUAGACCGUUUCUGAAAUUAGUAGUGAAGUAUGUUGUUUAAUUUGAUAAUCCGCAAAAAACCUUACCACAACUUGAAUAUUUAUUAUGUUUAGCCAAUAACAUAUACUUACAAGCGUUGCACGGCUGUCGUCAGUUGAUGUCGCGAGACUGUGGUUUACUCCACUAAUUAACGUAAACCCUUGCUUUAUUUUUAGAUAAAGUAGAUAAUCACCGAUAUGGCGAUGCUAACAGGGACUAAGGCAAGCCAUCAUGGCCUAAAUGUUGUGGGCUAUAGACGUGCCACAUUGACCUUACAAAAGGGU
RNAcentral lists this ribosomal RNA (806 nucleotides) under Remototrachyna kingii. RNAcentral describes it as "SSU rRNA". It matches the Rfam family "Bacterial small subunit ribosomal RNA", at positions 401 to 1247 of the family's 1533-position model. The record is from RNAcentral. Lineage: Eukaryota; Fungi; Ascomycota; Lecanoromycetes; Lecanorales; Parmeliaceae.